RNAcentral lists this long non-coding RNA (706 nucleotides) under Triticum aestivum (bread wheat). RNAcentral describes it as "long non-coding RNA (TAES_LNC013738)". The record is from RNAcentral. Lineage: Eukaryota; Viridiplantae; Streptophyta; Magnoliopsida; Poales; Poaceae.
UAAAACUCGAUCCCCAAAUCCCCCCGAUUCACAAAACAAAAACCAAAUCCCUAAACGUAGGUAGGCGACGGCGACAGUGGAAUUCUUUGGUUGCUAACCGGCGACGAGCAGUUGAAUGAGAGUAGGGGGCCAGGGCGCGGCGGGAGUACUCGCGCAGCGGUGUGAACUCUUUCUCUGCUCCCCCUUCUCCUCUGCUGCUAGGCGAGAUGGGUGGCGCCGGCGUUCCAAAGCGCGACGACGAGGAAUGGAAGCAGACGGCGGUGUACAACUGGGGAUCAAAGAGAAGCGCUCAGGUGAUGGUUCCCCAUUCUUGUGAAUCAUGUAUGCAUGUGUGUUGUGUUAUUUGCUUAGAAAGAUUUGAUUUUUAGGAUGAGGAGAUGCCGGGAUUGGACUUGAGAAGGAGGCUGAGAAGCAUGCUGAUAAAGAGAAGCACAAGAUGGAGAAGAAGGUCAUUGCUAGGAUCAACAAGGAGCAAAUUAUAUGCAGAGAUAGGAUGCUACUGUUUGUAAUCAGUAUGUGUGCUAGCUUGUGUGUCAUCCUGUUUGAAGUAGCAGGAAAGUAGUAGAAGUGGGAUGAUGUUUGCAGUACGAGGAAAUGAGUUUGUAUUAUGAACAUGAUCUAUGUGUAAAUGGCAAAUGAUAUGUUUGUGCGUUUAUUUGGAAUUUGGCUUAUAACAAUCACAUUUUCAGUUGCAUUUUAAUGUUUG